CUGGUCAUAUCAUGUUAAAACACCAGUUCUUAUUCAAACACCAAAGUUAAGUAACAUUGAGCCUGAUUAGUACCUAGAUGGGUGACUGCUUGGGAAUACCAGGUACUGUAAG
Acanthosepion pharaonis is the source of this 112-nucleotide non-coding RNA. Lineage: Eukaryota; Metazoa; Mollusca; Cephalopoda; Sepiida; Sepiidae. The record is from the annotation of a GenBank genome assembly.